CCUACGGGCGGCUGCAGUGGGGAAUAUUGCACAAUGGGCGCAAGCCUGAUGCAGCCAUGCCGCGUGUGUGAAGAAGGCCUUCGGGUUGUAAAGCACUUUCAGCGGGGAGGAAGGCGGUGAGGUUAAUAACCUCAUCGAUUGACGUUACCCGCAGAAGAAGCACCGGCUAACUCCGUGCCAGCACCGCGGUAAUACGGAGGGUGCAAGCGUUAAUCGGAAUUACUGGGCGUAAAGCGCACGCAGGCGGUCUGUCAAGUCGGAUGUGAAAUCCCCGGGCUCAACCUGGGAACUGCAUUCGAAACUGGCAGGCUAGAGUCUUGUAGAGGGGGGUAGAAUUCCAGGUGUAGCGGUGAAAUGCGUAGAGAUCUGGAGGAAUACCGGUGGCGAAGGCGGCCCCCUGGACAAAGACUGACGCUCAGGUGCGAAAGCGUGGGGAGCAAACAGGAUUAGAUACCCCGGUAGUC
RNAcentral lists this ribosomal RNA (464 nucleotides) under uncultured Klebsiella sp. Its description in RNAcentral is "bacterial SSU rRNA". It matches the Rfam family "Bacterial small subunit ribosomal RNA", at positions 338 to 795 of the family's 1533-position model. The record is from RNAcentral. Lineage: Bacteria; Pseudomonadati; Pseudomonadota; Gammaproteobacteria; Enterobacterales; Enterobacteriaceae.